This 87-nucleotide non-coding RNA is filed under the name Burkholderiales bacterium. RNAcentral's name for it is "c-di-GMP sequence". It matches the Rfam family "c-di-GMP-I riboswitch aptamer". From Rfam's summary of the family: GEMM was predicted in a large-scale screen for bacterial structured RNA regulatory elements. Genes associated with GEMM are involved in a diverse array of functions, including chemotaxis regulation, signal transduction, secretion and chitin. Lineage: Bacteria; Pseudomonadati; Pseudomonadota; Betaproteobacteria; Burkholderiales. The record is from RNAcentral.
AUCUGCAAAGGGCAAACCGCGCGAAAGCGCGGGACGCAAAGUCAUCGGUCUAACGGGCGCAAGCCCCAUGACUGCAGGACUGCCAGA